Molecule: long non-coding RNA, 1271 nt
Organism: Drosophila yakuba
Lineage: Eukaryota; Metazoa; Arthropoda; Insecta; Diptera; Drosophilidae
Exons: 2
Source: RefSeq, a predicted model, not a curated record
UAUAUAUUCGCCGGAACAUACAACAAAGCUGAUUAAAAUCACGUGGAUAAGGGCCUCCAGUGCCAACGAUCUUCAGGUUAACUUAACGAAUGGAGCAGCUGACUCCGACUGCGACUGGAGCGGCGACAGAAUUUGUGUGCGUUGCGGGCGAGUAACCAAAAUGGAACUGGAAUGGCCCCUAGUGGCGCAGUGGGUCAGCACUUUGUUGGCCAUGCAACUAGGUGGUGGAAGGCAAAUCCCCAUUGAGCCGCAGAAAUAUGGACACUUAUAACCCCACCCCGUCCAAUAUUCUCUGGCAUGCCGCAUUGUCCAACGGACCUCUUGCAAAUGCAAUUGCAAAUGCCACUUGGCAGCUGCCAGUCACAUGUCCGCCGCUUGAAUGGGCGCAAGAGUUUGUGGCCAAAAGAAAAAACUAACGAAACGAAAUCGAUUGGCCCUGCCAUUGGCCAUGCAAAGCUUGCGGCAAUUAAUUGGCAUUAAUCAACUUAAUUAUGAAAUAUUCGAUAAGAUUGCCACUCCACUCCACAGCCAACGAAGCUUGUGUGGAAAAACGAAAUUAUCAUGGAAUGGGUUCGAGAUUUUGGGGCUCUAAUGGUAACUAAAUGUGGCCAAGUCGAACGGUUAUUUCGGUUCUAUAAAACUCUAUCAAGAAUAAUUAUUAUAAAAAAAGAGGGAAAUUAUAUACUUUAAUGUGCUACAAUUAUCCCCAUAUAACGUGUACCUUUUCUAUCACUAAAAAGACAACAAUAUAGUUCAAAGAGGUUCUCCAAUUACGAUCGCCGAACUGGGUUGUUCCUCAUUAUCAUUCUAAUGGAACUUCCCCGCCAUAUUUUCCCAACCAAAUGGCGAACUCAUUCGAAAGCUCCGUGGUCAGAAGCAGCGGGUUCCUCUAUGGCAAUUGUCGAAAAGAAUUCCCAGAAGACUCAGACUGCUCACGGAAUGACUUCUGGCUGUACGAAUGACAUGGCUGAGUGACUAGUGACUGACUGCGCCCGAGAUAUUGUCAUUUCCAUUUUGAGGUCGGCUAAUUUGCAUAAAUUGAUAUCCGCCCGCAGUCUGGGAGAUGCAGAUGCAGAUGCAUGCACCCAGUGCAGUGUGUAGUAAGAUUGUGGGCUUCAUGGGCACUCAAUUCGGUUCAGGCCAAUCCCAGAUGCCAGUGGCUUCCGUUCUGGCCACAUGGUGAAAUCAACGUCCAAUUUCCACAACUUCAAUUUAUUGUCAUUAAAAUGUAACCCAUUAAAUAAAUUAAAAGAUCGAAAUAUAAGUGUUUC